Long non-coding RNA from Herpailurus yagouaroundi (jaguarundi), 523 nucleotides. RefSeq lists it as uncharacterized. NCBI's taxonomy places the organism in Eukaryota, Metazoa, Chordata, Mammalia, Carnivora, Felidae. The transcript has 2 exons. The record is from RefSeq and is a predicted model, not a curated record.
CGCCGCGCGCCGCGCUCUACUUCCGGGGCGGCGCUCUGGCAACCGAAGACGCGGCCGCUGGCGCCGCGACUGCUUCCGGGGUCACAUUUUCCCGGCCGCUCCCUAGGCCCCCCGCCCGCCGCGCCCUCGGCGGAGAUCCUAGAAGAGCCGGCCCUCCAUCCCCGGGAACCUCGCAGCCUUCAGGACCCAGGAAUGAGCCGGAAAGAAGAAAAGCAGAAUUUUAUGUCCCUGCUCUGAUACAUUCUAGCUGUUUGGGCACAGGCACCUCCGAUCCUCUCCAUUACAAUUUCUCCCCAGAGAAAUCUCCGUCUCUUAGGGGUGGAAGAGAUUUUAAAUUCCUGGUGCAUGGCACCUAGGAAGUCGCAUCACUUGGCUUCCCACAUCCUCCUGUCUUAUGCAGCAUACGUGCCAUUCCAGAUGCAUCACCAGCAGCCAAAUACUAGAAGGCUUGGCGACAGCCAAUGGAAGGAGACCAACAUCACAGGGAAGAGCGAAUAGUAUAUUAAAAAAAAAAAAAAAAAAA